CAGAUAUAGUUUAAUGGUAGAAUGUGGGCUUCCCAAGCCUAAAAUACGGGUUCGAUUCCCGUUAUCUG
RNAcentral lists this transfer RNA (68 nucleotides) under chicken gut metagenome. It matches the Rfam family "tRNA". Rfam says of the family: Transfer RNA (tRNA) molecules are approximately 80 nucleotides in length. The record is from RNAcentral.